This 81-nucleotide small RNA is filed under the name Drosophila guanche. Lineage: Eukaryota; Metazoa; Arthropoda; Insecta; Diptera; Drosophilidae. The record is from RNAcentral.
GUCCAGCUGCUGGUGCUCCUGCUGCCGCUGCUGCUGGCGCUAGUUCUAAUGCUGCUGCUGCCGCAGCUCCUGCUGCUGGUC